GCGGGGAUAGCUCAGUUGGAGGAGCGUUCAGACUGAAGAUCUGAAGGUCGCGUGUUCGAAUCCACGCUCACCGCA
Benincasa hispida (wax gourd) is the source of this 75-nucleotide non-coding RNA. NCBI's taxonomy places the organism in Eukaryota, Viridiplantae, Streptophyta, Magnoliopsida, Cucurbitales, Cucurbitaceae. The record is from the annotation of a RefSeq genome assembly.